UCCGUAGGUGGAUAAUUAAGUCAGAGGUGAAAUCCUGCAGCUCAACUGUAGAAUUGCCUUUGAUACUGGUUAUCUUGAGUCAUUAUGAAGUGGUUAGAAUGUGUAGUGUAGCGGUGAAAUGCAUAGAUAUUACUCAGAAUACCGAUUGCGAAGGCAGAUCACUAAUAAUGUACUGACACUGAGGGACGAAAGCGUGGGGAGCGAACAGGAUUAGAUACCCUGGUAGUCC
Molecule: ribosomal RNA, 229 nt
Filed under: uncultured bacterium
Lineage: Bacteria
Description: partial 16S ribosomal RNA
Rfam family: Bacterial small subunit ribosomal RNA
Source: RNAcentral